RNAcentral lists this ribosomal RNA (160 nucleotides) under bacterium 050631b. Its description in RNAcentral is "partial 16S rRNA". It matches the Rfam family "Bacterial small subunit ribosomal RNA", at positions 355 to 507 of the family's 1533-position model. The record is from RNAcentral.
UGGGGAAUAUUGCACAAUGGGCGCAAGCCUGAUGCAGCCAUGCCGCGUGUGUGAAGAAGGCCUUCGGGUUGUAAAGCACUUUCAGCGAGGAGGAAGGCAUCACACUUAAUACGUGUGGUGAUUGACGUUACUCGCAGAAGAAGCACCGGCUAACUCCGUG